Molecule: long non-coding RNA, 1442 nt
Organism: Amphiprion ocellaris (clown anemonefish)
Lineage: Eukaryota; Metazoa; Chordata; Actinopteri; Pomacentridae
Source: Ensembl
AUCCCGAGAAAGUUUCGCGAGAUCCCGAGAAACUUUCUCGGGAUCCCGAGAAACUUUUUCGGGAUCUCGCGGAGAAUCACAAUUCACAACCCACGACGGAGGAGCUGCUAUGUACGGAGCCCUCCGUUGCUAUGGAGGAGGAUUUGGAACAUUUCCUGCGGUCAAGAGACGUCCCUCAAGAGGCUGUACUCAACAUGAAACGGGACAAGGACAAUGAACUGAAUUUCUUUCCACAAGACUUGCCUUCAUAUUCAAGCAGCCAGCUUUCCCCAUCACCCUCCGCUGAUACCUCAGGAGAUCCAGAUAGGCCACGACGUGCAUCUAUUCGCAGGAUAAAGGUUGUUGAAGAUCUAUUAGCUGUAUUUAUGGACAGCAGCUUAAUGAAUGUAACUCUAAAGAUGGACUUUGUAAAUGAAAAAGCUCUUGAUGAUGCUGGUGUGUCAAGGGAGAUUUACACUGCAUUUUGGGAGCAAUUUCUUGAACAGUGCGAAGGUGAAGCAGAGCGCGUUCCAAGGCUGAGGCCAGAUUUUGGUGAGGAUGAAUGGCAAGCGAUUGGACGGAUAUGGGUGAAAGGAUUACUUGACCAUGGUGUCUUUCCAGUGAGGAUCUCAAAAGCUUUUAUUUUAGCUUGCAUCUAUGGUAUUGACUCAGUGGAUGCAGACACCCUCAUGACAUCUUUUCUUAACUACCUUCCUCCUCUUGAGAGAGCAGCUGUUGAGAAGGCUCUCCAGGGAUCAAUGGAAGAAAGUGAUGAAGAGGAUCUGCUUGAUCUGUUUGUAAGGAUGGGUUCCCAUUGCCUACCGCCAAAGAACAAUAUCAAGGCUGCCAUCCAAACAAUGGCUCAUAAAGUAAUUCUUCAAGAACCAAAGUAUAUUGUUGAUUGUUUCUCCACACCCAUGGCACUCAUACAGAGAAAACUGUCAAACAGAGAGAGUGUAUUGUCUCUAUAUGAGUCAAAGAAGGCCACAGGUAAAAGAGUAUCACAGCUGCUUGAAACAACAAAAAUGGUGCUGUCUCAGAGAGAGCAAACAACCUUUAACCAUUUCCAGCGUUACGUGAAAAAUGCUGACCAAGUCCAAGCUGAAAAAAUCCUUCGUUUCUGCACUGGCUCAUCUGUCAUAUGUACUGACAAAAUUAUGGUAUGCUUUAAUGCUGAAACUGGGCUCAACAGGAGACCUAUUGCUCACACCUGUGGAGCAACCCUUGAACUACCAUGCACUUAUGGUUCCUACCCUGAAUUUCGCACAGAGUUUGACAACAUCCUGUCCAGCAACCACCUUGAAAUGAAUAUUCUUUGACUUGGAGAAAAGUCCUUGUAAGGGCCUAAGACAAACAGGCAUCACAUGGUAUGAAAUUUUAUAUAUUAUUUAUUGUUUUUGUUACUUUUUUGUUUCUUUUGUAAUGCAAACAUACAAUGUGAUGUGGUUUGCCACCUACAAUUC